CCUACGGGUGGCAGCAGUGAGGAAUAUUGGUCAAUGGGCGGAAGCCUGAACCAGCCAAGUAGCGUGCAGGAUGACGGCCCUACGGGUUGUAAACUGCUUUUAUACGGGAAUAACGCGCCUUACGUGUAGGGCUUUGCAUGUACCGUAUGAAUAAGGACCGGCUAAUUCCGUGCCAGCAGCCGCGGUAAUACGGAAGGUCCGGGCGUUAUCCGGAAUGACUGGGCGUAAAGGGUGCGUAGGUGGUUUGACAAGUUGGUAGCGUAACUCCGAGGCUUAACCUCGGCACUACUACCAAAACUGUUGGACUCGAGUGCAGGAGGGGCAAAUGGAAUUCCUAGUGUAGCGGUGGAAUGCGUAGAUAUUAGGAGGAACACCAGUGGCGAAGGCGAUUUGCUGGACUGUAACUGACACUGAGGCACGAAAGCGUGGGGAGCAAACAGGAUUAGAUACCCGGGUAGUC
RNAcentral lists this ribosomal RNA (460 nucleotides) under uncultured bacterium. RNAcentral describes it as "partial 16S ribosomal RNA". It matches the Rfam family "Bacterial small subunit ribosomal RNA", at positions 338 to 795 of the family's 1533-position model. The record is from RNAcentral.